GAGGAAAGCCCAGCGACGCCGGGCCAGCGCAUUCUUAUUUUAUGUAUGAGCAAACUAUGGAAUGGAAAAGAGAUUAUGAGUUAUUACUUGAUUUGAUUUGCCCUAAGUGUUUUUUAAACGAAGAUCUGGCAAGAGUUAGCGUGCAGUUCUACAUUGUGACAAUUCAUGAGAGCUAAGGACUGGCUGUCUCUUGGGACAAAUAGGCUUUCUUGAGUCUGCAUGAGGCCCUCACCAGAUACAGCCACCUGAUCUUGGACUUCACAGCCUCCAGAAAUAUGCCCUGGAAUACACUUGUGUCAGUGACAAAUGCUGCUUUGCUGUGCUACAUCGAGUACAAGAGAAAUACAUGGGCUAUCUUCAGCACAGAACACAAACUCUGCCUUCUUUUCUCAAGUCCAGUGAUUCAAGUUUGACACACCACACCACGGUGGAUGUGCCUUGUCAUGACACAUCUUCUCAGCAGCACUAGAAGAUACAUCCAAAGUCCUGUGAGCAAGGACACAGCGAGAAGAUGGCUGUCUACAAGCCAGGAAGAGAGUCCUCACCAGAACCAAACCCUGCUGGACUUUGAUCUUGGACUUCCCAGCCUCUAAAACUGUGAAGACAUAAAUUUCUGUUGUUAAACCCACACAGGUCUGUGGUAUCUGUUUAUUAUGGCAGCCCAGUAAGACUAAGACAGGCCAUCACAAGACAUGAAUGUUUUGGACCUUCUCUUGGGCCCUAGUAAACAGAAAUCAGGUACGCAAAAGGGGUAAGCAUAUAAUUUCCUUUAUUUUUAUUUUUAAUGUGUAAGCCUUAGGUUUUUAUUUAUUUAUUUGGUGAAGACAAUCACAUUGUGUACGUACAAUGUAAUUAUAUUGUUGACGAGAAGUUACUUAAAAUUUUUUAAAAAUUCUAAUCGAUUUCUAGAUGUCCAAAUGAGAAGAUAGCAUUUAUAUACCAUCAGAACAUAAAAUAAUUCAAAAAAAUAAAUUUAUAAAACAAUAUGUAUUAUAUUGAGAGAAAGAGAGGGAGAGAGUAUUGGAAGAAUAUAUGCAAAUACAAUGUGAUAAUGUGAUGUCUUUGUGAGAAUGCUAUAUGUCAUUUUCUUUGUUUAUAUGAAUUUUUACAAUUUUUACCUUUGAAAUAUAAAAAAGAGAGAAUAAAAGUCAUUGAAAAAAUCAAAAGUAACUAUUUUCAUAGGUGAGUAAGUAUACAUCUUUAACAGAACAGCAAAGAGUCGAUGAAUGUUCAGAGAUAUUAUAUAAGUAACAGAUAAGAAGUGUCCUGAUCUAUGGUAUUCAUUCUCAGUUGCAAAUAUAUAUGCAAAAAACCCCACA
RNAcentral lists this long non-coding RNA (1319 nucleotides) under Homo sapiens (human). Its description in RNAcentral is "PREDICTED lncRNA (TCONS_00203157)". The record is from RNAcentral. Lineage: Eukaryota; Metazoa; Chordata; Mammalia; Primates; Hominidae.